This 88-nucleotide transfer RNA is filed under the name Alphaproteobacteria bacterium. Its description in RNAcentral is "tRNA-Leu". It matches the Rfam family "tRNA". Rfam says of the family: Transfer RNA (tRNA) molecules are approximately 80 nucleotides in length. Their secondary structure includes four short double-helical elements and three loops (D, anti-codon, and T loops). Further hydrogen bonds mediate the characteristic L-shaped molecular structure. tRNAs have two regions of fundamental functional importance: the anti-codon, which is responsible for specific mRNA codon recognition, and the 3' end, to which the tRNAs corresponding amino acid is attached (by aminoacyl-tRNA synthetases). tRNAs cope with the degeneracy of the genetic code in two manners: having more than one tRNA (with a specific anti-codon) for a particular amino acid; and 'wobble' base-pairing, i.e. permitting non-standard base-pairing at the 3rd anti-codon position. Lineage: Bacteria; Pseudomonadati; Pseudomonadota; Alphaproteobacteria. The record is from RNAcentral.
GCGGUCGUGGCGGAACUGGUAGACGCGUAGCGUUGAGGUCGCUAUGAAAAUUUAUUUCGUGGAAGUUCAAGUCUUCUCGACCGCACCA